GAACGGGUGAGUAACACGUGGGUAACCUGCCCAUCAGAAGGGGAUAACACUUGGAAACAGGUGCUAAUACCGUAUAACACUAUUUUCCGCAUGGAAGAAAGUUGAAAGGCGCUUUUGCGUCACUGAUGGAUGGACCCGCGGUGCAUUAGCUAGUUGGUGAGGUAACGGCUCACCAAGGCCACGAUGCAUAGCCGACCUGAGAGGGUGAUCGGCCACACUGGGACUGAGACACGGCCCAGACUCCUACGGGAGGCAGCAGUAGGGAAUCUUCGGCAAUGGACGAGAGUCUGACCGAGCAACGCCGCGUGAGUGAAGAAGGUUUUCGGAUCGUAAAACUCUGUUGUUAGAGAAGAACAAGGAUGAGAGUAAAAUGUUCAUCCCUUGACGGUAUCUAACCAGAAAGCCACGGCUAACUACGUGCCAGCAGCCGCGGUAAUACGUAGGUGGCAAGCGUUGUCCGGAUUUAUUGGGCGUAAAGCGAGCGCAGGCGGUUUCUUAAGUCUGAUGUGAAAGCCCCCGGCUCAACCGGGGAGGGUCAUUGGAAACUGGGAGACUUGAGUGCAGAAGAGGAGAGUGGAAUUCCAUGUGUAGCGGUGAAAUGCGUAGAUAUAUGGAGGAACACCAGUGGCGAAGGCGGCUCUCUGGUCUGUAACUGACGCUGAGGCUCGAAAGCGUGGGGAGCGAACAGGAUUAGAUACCCUGGUAGUCCACGCCGUAAACGAUGAGAGCUAAGUGUUGGAGGGUUUCCGCCCUUCAGU
This 758-nucleotide ribosomal RNA is filed under the name uncultured bacterium. RNAcentral's name for it is "bacterial SSU rRNA". It matches the Rfam family "Bacterial small subunit ribosomal RNA", at positions 100 to 844 of the family's 1533-position model. The record is from RNAcentral.